Molecule: transfer RNA, 76 nt
Filed under: Alphaproteobacteria bacterium
Lineage: Bacteria; Pseudomonadati; Pseudomonadota; Alphaproteobacteria
Description: tRNA-Thr
Rfam family: tRNA
About the family: Transfer RNA (tRNA) molecules are approximately 80 nucleotides in length. Their secondary structure includes four short double-helical elements and three loops (D, anti-codon, and T loops).
Source: RNAcentral
GCCGGUUUAGCUCAGCUGGUAGAGCAACGCAUUCGUAAUGCGUGGGUCGGGCGUUCGAAUCUCCUAACCGGCACCA